RNAcentral lists this ribosomal RNA (433 nucleotides) under uncultured bacterium. RNAcentral's name for it is "partial 16S ribosomal RNA". It matches the Rfam family "Bacterial small subunit ribosomal RNA", at positions 29 to 507 of the family's 1533-position model. The record is from RNAcentral.
AACGAACGCUGGCGGCAUGCCUAACACAUGCAAGUCGAACGAGACCUUCGGGUCUAGUGGCGCACGUGUGCGUAACGCGUGGGAACCUGCCCGUAGGUUCGGUAUAACUCACCGAAAGGUGUGCUAAUACCGGAUAAGCUCUUCGGACCUAAGAUUUAUCGCCUUUGGAUGGGCCCGCGUUGGAUUAGCUGGUUGGUAGUGUAAAAGCAUACCAAGGGGAGGAUCCAGGGCUGGUCGGAGAGGAUGAUCCGCUGCGAUGGGAAUGCGACCCGGCCUAGACCCCUACGGGACGGAGCAGUGGGGAACAUUGGACGCUGGGCGCUAGUGCGAUCACGCAACGUGGCGUGAGUGAUGCAGCCGUUAGGGUUCCACAUCCCUCUUAGCCGGGAUGAUAAUGACAGUACCGGGUGAAUAAGCUCCGGCUAACUCCGUG